This 447-nucleotide ribosomal RNA is filed under the name uncultured bacterium. Its description in RNAcentral is "bacterial SSU rRNA". It matches the Rfam family "Bacterial small subunit ribosomal RNA", at positions 329 to 793 of the family's 1533-position model. The record is from RNAcentral.
UCCCAGACUCCUACGGGAGGCAGCAGUGGGGAAUAUUGCACAAUGGGGGGAACCCUGAUGCAGCAACGCCGCGUGGGUGAAGAAGUACUUCGGUAUGUAAAGCCCUGUCAGCAGGGAAGAAAAUGACGGUACCUGACCAAGAAGCCCCGGCUAACUACGUGCCAGCAGCCGCGGUAAUACGUAGGGAGCGAGCGUUGUCCGGAAUUACUGGGCGUAAAGGGCGCGUAGGCGGGAACUUAAGUUAGAUGUGAAAACUCCGGGCUUAACCUGGAGACUGCAUUUAAAACUAGGUUUCUUGAGGGCAGGAGAGGAAAGUGGAAUUCCUAGUGUAGCGGUGAAAUGCGUAGAUAUUAGGAGGAACACCAGUGGCGAAGGCGACUUUCUGGACUGUACCUGACGCUGAGGCGCGAAAGCAUGGGGAGCGAACAGGAUUAGAUACCCUUGUAU